AGUGGCGGACGGGUGAGUAACGCGUGAGAAUCUGCCUUGGGGUCGGGGACAACCACUGGAAACGGUGGCUAAUACCGGAUAAGCCGAUUGGUGAAAGAUUUAUUGCCCGAAGAGGAGCUCGCGUCUGAUUAGCUAGUUGGUGAGGUAAGAGCUCACCAAGGCAGCGAUCAGUAGCUGGUCUGAGAGGACGAUCAGCCACACUGGGACUGAGACACGGCCCAGACUCCUACGGGAGGCAGCAGUGGGGAAUUUUCCGCAAUGGGCGAAAGCCUGACGGAGCAAGACCGCGUGAGGGAGGAAGGCUCUUGGGUUGUAAACCUCUUUUCUCAGGGAAGAAGCUCUGACGGUACCUGAGGAAUCAGCCUCGGCUAACUCCGUGCCAGCAACCGCGGUAAUACGGAGGAGGCAAGCGUUAUCCGGAAUUAUUGGGCGUAAAGCGUCCGCAGGUGGCGAUUCAAGUCUGCUGUCAAAGCACGGGGCUUAACUCCGUAAAGGCAGUGGAAACUGAAUAGCUAGAGUGCCGUAGGGGUAGAGGGAAUUCCCGGUGUAGCGGUGAAAUGCGUAGAGAUCGGGAAGAACAUCGGUGGCGAAAGCGCUCUACUGGACGGCAACUGACACUCAGGGACGAAAGCUAGGGGAGCGAAUGGGAUUAGAUACCCC
RNAcentral lists this ribosomal RNA (660 nucleotides) under uncultured bacterium. RNAcentral's name for it is "bacterial SSU rRNA". It matches the Rfam family "Bacterial small subunit ribosomal RNA", at positions 94 to 788 of the family's 1533-position model. The record is from RNAcentral.